UAGCAGGUUGAAAUCCCGUCCGGGGAAUUGCUCAUUCACUCCGGUAGCACUGCGGAGCAGUAUUUGAGUAAUUGAAUGCUAUAAGUUGCGCGCAGGCAAAGCUGCAGGCCGCAACGCAA
This 119-nucleotide non-coding RNA is filed under the name Nitrosomonas communis. The record is from RNAcentral. Lineage: Bacteria; Pseudomonadati; Pseudomonadota; Betaproteobacteria; Nitrosomonadales; Nitrosomonadaceae.